AAGUCGUAACAAGGUUUCCGUAGGUGAACCUGCGGAAGGAUCAUUAACACGUGAUACUCACGUAUUAACAACCCACCGAGAACUGUUAAAAACCCUAAUGAUGAAUGCAAACAGACGAAAUGGGGGAAUGCUAUUGGCCGCCUUAACUGUACGCCAUAACCCAUCAGUCGCACCUAUGUCCGCCCUGGGUGUUUGUACCAUCAAUUAGUUGAAAUUAUCGGCCUGCGGUAAAGGACUGUAGCCUAUCCUUACGCCUCCGCCGACCAUUAUUAACCCCUUUUUCUAUUAUUUACUGAUUUGUAUGUUUAUAUGAAUUCCUGGCUUCGGUCGGUUGAGUUUAUGUAGAUGUCGUAUAUUACUAAUACGAAACAACUCUUAGCAACGGAUAUCUUGGUUCUC
Molecule: unclassified non-coding RNA, 399 nt
Filed under: fungal sp.
Lineage: Eukaryota; Fungi
Description: partial internal transcribed spacer region
Rfam family: Eukaryotic small subunit ribosomal RNA (bases 1-46)
Source: RNAcentral